This 551-nucleotide ribosomal RNA is filed under the name Lacticaseibacillus paracasei. RNAcentral's name for it is "bacterial SSU rRNA". It matches the Rfam family "Bacterial small subunit ribosomal RNA", at positions 36 to 551 of the family's 1533-position model. Lineage: Bacteria; Bacillati; Bacillota; Bacilli; Lactobacillales; Lactobacillaceae. The record is from RNAcentral.
CUGGCGGCGUGCCUAAUACAUGCAAGUCGAACGAGUUCUCGUUGAUGAUCGGUGCUUGCACCGAGAUUCAACAUGGAACGAGUGGCGGACGGGUGAGUAACACGUGGGUAACCUGCCCUUAAGUGGGGGAUAACAUUUGGAAACAGAUGCUAAUACCGCAUAGAUCCAAGAACCGCAUGGUUCUUGGCUGAAAGAUGGCGUAAGCUAUCGCUUUUGGAUGGACCCGCGGCGUAUUAGCUAGUUGGUGAGGUAAUGGCUCACCAAGGCGAUGAUACGUAGCCGAACUGAGAGGUUGAUCGGCCACAUUGGGACUGAGACACGGCCCAAACUCCUACGGGAGGCAGCAGUAGGGAAUCUUCCACAAUGGACGCAAGUCUGAUGGAGCAACGCCGCGUGAGUGAAGAAGGCUUUCGGGUCGUAAAACUCUGUUGUUGGAGAAGAAUGGUCGGCAGAGUAACUGUUGUCGGCGUGACGGUAUCCAACCAGAAAGCCACGGCUAACUACGUGCCAGCAGCCGCGGUAAUACGUAGGUGGCAAGCGUUAUCCGGAUU